Molecule: long non-coding RNA, 1148 nt
Organism: Aphis gossypii (cotton aphid)
Lineage: Eukaryota; Metazoa; Arthropoda; Insecta; Hemiptera; Aphididae
Exons: 8
Source: RefSeq, a predicted model, not a curated record
UCUCGUCGAAGUAUGACCAAAAAUGUAAAACGGCAACAGCUCACCUGCGGAUUCUAGCAGUAGCGUCCUUAAACCAUUUUAUAUAGGAUGGGCCGAGCUCAAUACAAUAUGUACAAUAAUACACGUCAAGCGGUAUACAUCACGUACACUGAAAUUCGCCAACCGUGACGUGGUAAUCCACCCUCGGCAUUUUAACCCGGUCACACAGCCACACAGGUCCGGCAAACAACCGGCACUAAUUUCGGGGAAUUUUUUCCUUCACGGCACACACGCGUGAUACUAAAUAACCGAUACGAAGUAUAAAUACUCCCAAAAAGAGACAUGGCGCAGCGUGGUUGUUAAAUUAUUGCUGCAGACAGAUUGCAGUUAUUUGCAUUUUAGUCAAGACUUAUUGCAACGGCUGAAGCUGAAAGGUCUCACACAAAGGAUACAUGCAGACUACAGAAACUUAAAAGUUAUUUCGGGUCAAGACAACACACGAGUGAAGCCCUAUAAUUUAGAAUAGCUAUCUUUGGAUAUAAUGGACAUGAACAACACCUGGGUAAAUGAAGUAUCAACUUAGUAAAUAAUAUGGAUAUCUUACUACCUAUAUAAUAGGUACAUUCAAACUGUGCUGAGCUGAAGAAGGCUUUUUAAGGCUACUGUCUGAAGACCAAAUUGAAUAAGUGAAUAGUUUCAGGGGGUGCCAGUCAAGGCCGGAUACAGUGGUCCUUAACGGAAAGGAAUUUCGCCCAUCGUCCCCCUCUGUAUUCGCCUUCUGCAUACCCUGGAAAAGAGGCCUGCGCACGCCUAUGGUUUGCCAUGUUGUACCUAAUACAGUAGUAAUUCACUUGCAGAGUUGCAGCCAUACCAAAAUCCUACUAUAAGUUCGCUCAUCUGCACUUUCAGCUUGCCCUCGAACAUAAAGUUGACCAUAGUGAUAGAAUGUUCUAGUGAGAUAUCGAGACUUUUUUUGGUGAGCCGCGGCUGGUAAUUGACAACGAUUUAUUUGGCUUAUUACAAUUGGAUUCACGAAAACAUCGCCAAUGCAACGGUGGAAUCGGAAAUCUGAAAAUAAAAUUAUUAAUACAAAAACUAUAACGACAGCUCUAUCUACCGACAAACGUUAACAGUAAGUAUGCAUAUUAUGCUAUCUCGCCCUCGUUUAU